RNAcentral lists this ribosomal RNA (497 nucleotides) under uncultured bacterium. Its description in RNAcentral is "partial 16S ribosomal RNA". It matches the Rfam family "Bacterial small subunit ribosomal RNA", at positions 28 to 507 of the family's 1533-position model. The record is from RNAcentral.
GAUGAACGCUGGCGGCGUGCCUAAUACAUGCAAGUCGAGCGAACAGACGAGGAUCUUGCUCCUCUGACGUUAGCGGCGGACGGGUGAGUAACACGUGGAUAACCUACCUAUAAGACUGGGAUAACUUCGGGAAACCGGAGCUAAUACCGGAUAAUAUAUUGAACCGCAUGGUUCAAUAGUGAAAGACGGUUUUGCUGUCACUUAUAGAUGGAUCCGCGCCGCAUUAGCUAGUUGGUAAGGUAACGGCUUACCAAGGCAACGAUGCGUAGCCGACCUGAGAGGGUGAGCGGCCACACUGGAACUGAGACACGGUCCAGACUCCUACGGGAGGCAGCAGUAGGGAAUCUUCCGCAAUGGGCGAAAGCCUGACGGAGCAACGCCGCGUGAGUGAUGAAGGUCUUCGGAUCGUAAAACUCUGUUAUUAGGGAAGAACAAAUGUGUAAGUAACUAUGCACGUCUUGACGGUACCGAAUCAGAAAGCCACGGCUAACUACGUG